AUUUCUUUCAUUUUUGGUUUGUUUGGUUUAUUUUUUGGCUAGUAGAAGUUAUAAAUGGCUGGUAACUUAAAAAUGUUGUAGCCAAAUUGGCUGGUGAGUGAAAAAGUUAAUUUCAAUCCCUGAUUACAAUGUAAAUUAUGUGAAAA
Sinocyclocheilus grahami is the source of this 146-nucleotide long non-coding RNA. RefSeq lists it as uncharacterized. The transcript is spliced from 3 exons. The record is from RefSeq and is a predicted model, not a curated record. Lineage: Eukaryota; Metazoa; Chordata; Actinopteri; Cypriniformes; Cyprinidae.